RNAcentral lists this long non-coding RNA (537 nucleotides) under Rattus norvegicus (Norway rat). RNAcentral describes it as "long non-coding RNA NONRATT009519". The record is from RNAcentral. Lineage: Eukaryota; Metazoa; Chordata; Mammalia; Rodentia; Muridae.
AGUCUCAACAGAUCACCCCCCAGCUUGCCCUUCAAGUUCUACUUCAGUUUGAUAAAGCUAAAUUCAGCAUUGGCUCAGAGAGUCAGGAACAGAGUCAAUUUCAGGGGCUCUCUAAAUACAUACAGAUUCUGCGAUAAUGUUUGGACUUUUGUAUUGAAUGAUGUUGAAUUCAGAGAGGUGACAGAACUUAUUAAAGUGGAUAAAGUGAAAAUUGUAGCCUGUGAUGGUAAAAAUACCAGUUCCAAUACUACGGAAUGAGUAGAGAAAUUGGGCUUUUUUAUGCCACCUUCUAUUAUUUUCAUCACUUUUUGAAGAGAAACAUAGAAGAGACUUUUUUUAUUUAUUCUCACAGUGCAGAAAUAACACUGUGCUAUAUAUACUACCCAAGGGUUCCACAGAGAGAAGCAUGUGACUCUGUUCUCUUAAAUGACCUUUAGUACACAGCAUAAAGAAAUGUAACUUUUUUUUAAUGACAAAUCAAAAGUGGUUGCCUUCCUAAGAAUAUUCUUCAAUAAAACUCGUUUUAAAACUUAAAAA